Molecule: ribosomal RNA, 493 nt
Filed under: uncultured bacterium
Lineage: Bacteria
Description: bacterial SSU rRNA
Rfam family: Bacterial small subunit ribosomal RNA
Source: RNAcentral
GGCUCAGAUUGAACGCUGGCGGCAUGCCUUACACAUGCAAGUCGAACGGCAGCACGGGUGCUUGCACCUGGUGGCGAGUGGCGAACGGGUGAGUAAUAUAUCGGAACGUACCUUAUCGUGGGGGAUAACGCAGCGAAAGCUGCGCUAAUACCGCAUACGCCCUGAGGGGGAAAGCGGGGGAUCGAAAGACCUCGCGCGAUUAGAGCGGCCGAUGCCUGAUUAGCUUGUUGGUGGGGUAAAAAGCCCACCAAGGCGACGAUCAGUAGCUGGUCUGAGAGGACGAUCAGCCACACUGGGACUGAGACACGGCCCAGACUCCUACGGGAGGCAGCAGUGGGGAAUUUUGGACAAUGGGGGAAACCCUGAUCCAGCAAUGCCGCGUGAGUGAAGAAGGCCUUCGGGUUGUAAAGCUCUUUUGUCAGGGAAGAAACACCGGCUCUAACACAGUCCGGGAAUGACGGUACCUGAAGAAUAAGCACCGGCUAACUACGUG